RNAcentral lists this ribosomal RNA (255 nucleotides) under Escherichia coli. RNAcentral's name for it is "partial 23S ribosomal RNA". It matches the Rfam family "Bacterial large subunit ribosomal RNA", at positions 190 to 483 of the family's 2925-position model. Lineage: Bacteria; Pseudomonadati; Pseudomonadota; Gammaproteobacteria; Enterobacterales; Enterobacteriaceae. The record is from RNAcentral.
GAACUGAAACAUCUAAGUACCCCGAGGAAAAGAAAUCAACCGAGAUUCCCCCAGUAGCGGCGAGCGAACGGGGAGCAGCCCAGAGCCUGAAUCAGUGUGUGUGUUAGUGGAAGCGUCUGGAAAGGCGUGCGAUACAGGGUGACAGCCCCGUACACAAAAAUGCACAUACUGUGAGCUCGAUGAGUAGGGCGGGACACGUGGUAUCCUGUCUGAAUAUGGGGGGACCAUUCUCCAGGGCUAAUGACUCCUGACUGA